This is a long non-coding RNA of Chelonia mydas (Green sea turtle), 1276 nucleotides long. RefSeq lists it as uncharacterized. NCBI's taxonomy places the organism in Eukaryota, Metazoa, Chordata, Testudines, Cheloniidae. The record is from RefSeq and is a predicted model, not a curated record. The transcript has 4 exons.
UAGAGGCAUCCCAGAAGUGAUGGGGCAGUGGGAGGAGAUAGGUGGGAAAAAGAAGCCCUUGUUCAGGUUCCAUCUGGCCUCUGCGCUACUCCUGUCUUGGUGAGUCUGUGGCCUCCGCUCCAGAGUCUCCAGCCAGUGUUCCUGAUAGUCCAAUGCAAAGGGCAGAAAAUGGAGGGCCCCCACACCCCGCACUUGUCAAUAUGAAAGGUUUAGCAGAGUCCAAAUCUCAUUUCCAGCUCCUCCUGCAGCCUAGGCUGAGUCAUCUCCCUGCUAACGGGGAGUGCGUGGGUUGGCCUCGGCGUUAGCCUGUUUAUCUCUGCCUUCUCCAAGCCUGACGCUGGCUCAGCCAUGGCUAUUUAUCAGCCUGGGAAUGAGCUGAGAUGAGCUCCCUGUGCCAUAAAACAAGCCUUGCUGUCAUCCUGCUCACUAGCUAAGCCAGUCCUCUGGGUGUGGACCCUGCGGUGGGGACUGAAGGGCUCCUGAAAACAGUAUGGACUCAAGCCCCCAGCCGUGGUGUGAGUGGAAUGACAGUGCUCCAGCCUUACAAUGCAAUGCCAGAGCCUCGCGUUCUGGGGAACACUUGCUCGUUGUGUGGCUGAGCUGCGGACUCCGCUCUGAGCGAUGAGGGUGGUGCCAAUGUAAACUUCCCCCUCCAGGCCACCCAUCCACCGCCGCCUGGAAAAGAGGUGACCUCCCCUAGCCAGGAGAAUGGACUCGUUACCCUGGAAAGGGUGGACUUGAUCAUGGGAAGAGAGACCAUUGCAGCACUAGAGCACCCAUCAGCAGGAGGUGCUAGAGAGGAGAGAGCGUGCUUCACCACACCCAGCCGUGAGGGGCCCACCAUGGUCUAUGUACCAUGAUGCCCUGGUGAUGGAAGAGAUGCAGAAGAGACCUCAAAGAUGCUGCAGCACUGCAGGAGCCAGGGGUGACGCUUGUCCCUAGGGUUGCCAAGACUCUGCAGCUCAGCUGGAUUCCAGAGCAGCCCUAGGAAGCGAGUCAGAGCGCAAACCCUGGCUGUUGGCCACAUUGGGUGUGAUGCAGCAGCUGGCCUGUGACUUCCUUGCUGUGCUCUCCCACUCAAAGGUCUCUCGGCACACAAGAUCCAUUGUUAAGCACCAAAUGGAAAAUUCCACUAAUGAGGGGUGACAGAUCUUCCUGAAGUGAUGCCUUAGACAAGAGAACGCAGAGCAGUACUUCAGAAUGUGCCAACACUCUGCUCUCCAGGGUGGGUUAAUGAGAUGACAUGAAGCUGAAUGUCACUGCCAACCUCCUCACG